This is a long non-coding RNA of Heterocephalus glaber (naked mole-rat), 579 nucleotides long. The record is from Ensembl. NCBI's taxonomy places the organism in Eukaryota, Metazoa, Chordata, Mammalia, Rodentia, Bathyergidae.
GCGUCCGCGUCUCUGGUCUGGAGAGAAGGCUCCGAAAUCCGUCUGCGCGAAAACAGCGUGGCAGCUGUCCCAUGCCAUAGUCCCAUCACUGGAGAGGCUGAGCCAGCAGCUCCCCAGCGUAGGAGUUCAUUGCCACCCUGCGCAGUAUACUGAGACCCCCACCCAUCUCAGGAAACAGGAGAGCAAGAAAAGAAAGAUGGCAGCUUCGCCCUCGCUGUGGUGCAGCAUCUCUCCUGCAGUGUCCUGUUCAAGACAGGCACACUCCACCCAGGCUUGAGAGGAGGCAAGCAGAUUCUGAGGUGUUGGAGCUGCUGAAAUACCCUAGGAACAGCUAAAGGAUCUCACACAACAUUGCGUGAGGAGGAAAACAUUCAUGCCUGGCUUACAGAUGGUUCUGCACAGUAUGCUGGCAUCAACAGAAAGUGGACAGCUGUAGCCCUAGAGCUCCACUCCAGAGUGGCUCUGGACAGUGGUAGAAGAAAUCUCCCUGGUGGGCCAAAUGCUGAGAGGCACAUUUGUUUGUCCGUUUCGUCUGAACUAGAGAUGGCCAGGAGCAGGGAGCUGUAUGGACUCAUAGGC